UUUAAUGUGCGGAAUAUUUUAUUUUAUUUGGGAUUUGACUGAAAGACUUUUAUUCUUACGACUUUUAAGUCAAACAUUAUGUGUGAGCAUUUGUUUUAGGCAAUAAGAUGAACAUUAAAAAGAGCUCAGAAAAGGAAAUUAUGGACUAAGCCAAAUUUGUUACUUUAAAGCUUCUGGAAACCAGUUCUUCAAAAUCCCAUUUAUUUGUAUAUUUCACUAAGCUUGGUCUCACAAAACAACCUUUUCAAAUUUAGGCGAAAUUUCUCAAAAUUGUAUUCUCAUUUAAUUCACACUACUCGAACGGCAAGUAU
Long non-coding RNA from Scaptodrosophila lebanonensis, 311 nucleotides. RefSeq lists it as uncharacterized. The record is from RefSeq and is a predicted model, not a curated record. Lineage: Eukaryota; Metazoa; Arthropoda; Insecta; Diptera; Drosophilidae. The transcript has 3 exons.